AACUGAAGAGUUUGAUCAUGGCUCAGAUUGAACGCUGGCGGCAGGCUUAACACAUGCAAGUCGAGCGGGGGAAGGUAGCUUGCUACUGGACCUAGCGGCGGACGGGUGAGUAAUGCUUAGGAAUCUGCCUAUUAGUGGGGGACAACAUCUCGAAAGGGAUGCUAAUACCGCAUACGUCCUACGGGAGAAAGCAGGGGAUCUUCGGACCUUGCGCUAAUAGAUGAGCCUAAGUCGGAUUAGCUAGUU
This 246-nucleotide ribosomal RNA is filed under the name Acinetobacter baumannii. RNAcentral describes it as "partial 16S ribosomal RNA". It matches the Rfam family "Bacterial small subunit ribosomal RNA", at positions 1 to 250 of the family's 1533-position model. The record is from RNAcentral. Lineage: Bacteria; Pseudomonadati; Pseudomonadota; Gammaproteobacteria; Moraxellales; Moraxellaceae.